This is a non-coding RNA of Brachybacterium sp. SW0106-09, 129 nucleotides long. NCBI's taxonomy places the organism in Bacteria, Bacillati, Actinomycetota, Actinomycetes, Micrococcales, Dermabacteraceae. The record is from Rfam.
GGCUUUCUUCGCGGCGGAGCUCGACCGCCCACAGCGUUGAUCGUGGAGUACAUCGACCAGUACAGGCAUGAGUUCGGCGUUGAGCCGAUCUGUCGAACGCUGACCGCAGCGGGCACGCAGAUCGCGCCG